This 399-nucleotide ribosomal RNA is filed under the name uncultured bacterium. RNAcentral describes it as "bacterial SSU rRNA". It matches the Rfam family "Bacterial small subunit ribosomal RNA", at positions 192 to 571 of the family's 1533-position model. The record is from RNAcentral.
CUCGGAAGAGGAAAGKGGGGGACCGCAWGGCCUYGCGCGAUUGGGUUGGCCGAUGUCCGAUUAGCUUGGUGGUGAGGUAAAGGCUUACCAAGGCGAUGAUCGGUAGCUGGUCUGAGAGGAUGAUCAGCCACACUGGGACUGAGACACGGCCCAGACUUCUACGGGAGGSAGCAAWGGGGAAUUUUGGACAAWGGGGGCAACCCUGAUCCACCCAUUCCGCGUGAGUGAAUAAGGCCUUCGGGUUGUAAAGCUCUUUUGUCCGGAGCGAAACGGGCGCGGUGAAUAUCCGCGUCUACUGACGGUACCGGAAGAAUAAGCACCGGGCUAACUACGUGCCAGCAGCCGCGGUAAUACGUAGGGUGCGAGCGUUAAUCGGAAUUACUGGGCGGUAAAGCUGCG